UGGGGAAUAUUGCACAAUGGGGGAAACCCGUAGCAUGCAGCAACGCCGCGUGAAGGAAGACGGUUUUCGGAUUGUAAACUUCUUUUCUUAGUGAAGAAACAAAUGACGGUAGCUAAGGAAUAAGCAUCGGCUAACUACGUGCCAGCAGCCGCGGUAAUACGUAGGAUGCGAGCGUUAUCCGGAUUUACUGGGUGUAAAGGGAGCGCAGGCGGGACUGCAAGUUGGAUGUGAAAUACCGCAGCUUAACUGCGGAGCUGCAUCCAAAAUCUGUAGUUCUUGAGUGGAGUAGAGGCAAGCGGAAUUCCGAGUGUAGCGGUGAAAUGCGUAGAUAUUCGGAGGAACACCAGUGGCGAAGGCGGCUUGCUGGGCUCUAACUGACGCUGAGGCUCAAAAAGGUGUGGGGAGCAAACAGGAUUAGAUACC
This 423-nucleotide ribosomal RNA is filed under the name uncultured bacterium. RNAcentral's name for it is "bacterial SSU rRNA". It matches the Rfam family "Bacterial small subunit ribosomal RNA", at positions 355 to 786 of the family's 1533-position model. The record is from RNAcentral.